This 443-nucleotide ribosomal RNA is filed under the name uncultured bacterium. RNAcentral describes it as "partial 16S ribosomal RNA". It matches the Rfam family "Bacterial small subunit ribosomal RNA", at positions 338 to 795 of the family's 1533-position model. The record is from RNAcentral.
CCUACGGGGGACAGCAGUGGGGAAUAUUGGGCAAUGGGCGCAAGCCUGACCCAGCAACGCCGCGUGAAGGAAGAAGGCUUUCGGGUUGUAAACUUCUUUUGUCAGGGACGAAGCAAGUGACGGUACCUGACGAAUAACCCACGGCUAACUACGUGCCAGCAGCCGCGGUAAUACGUAGGUGGCAAGCGUUAUCCGGCUUUACUGGGUGUAAGGGGCGUGUAGGCGGGACUGCAAGUCAGAUGUGAAAACCACGGGCUCAACCUGUGGCCUGCAUUUGAAACUGUAGUUCUUGAGUGCUGGAGAGGCAGACGGAAUUCCGAGUGUAGCGGUGGAAUGCGUAGAUAUUAGGAGGAACAACAGAGGCGAAGGCGAUCUGCUGGACAGCAACUGACGCUGAGGCGCGAAAGCGUGGGGAGCAAACAGGAUUAGAUACCCCAGUAGUC